UACGUAGGGCGCGAGCGUUGUCCGGAAUCAUUGGGCGUAAAGAGCGUGUAGGCGGCCCGGUAAGUCCGCUGUGAAAGUCCAGGGCUCAACCCUGGAAUGCCGGUGGAAACUGUCGGGCUAGAGUCCGGAAGAGGCGAGUGGAAUUCCUGGUGUAGCGGUGAAAUGCGCAGAUAUCAGGAGGAACACCAAUGGCGAAGGCAGCUCGCUGGGACGGUACUGACGCUGAGACGCGAAAGCGUGGGGAGCAAACAGG
RNAcentral lists this ribosomal RNA (253 nucleotides) under uncultured bacterium. RNAcentral describes it as "partial 16S ribosomal RNA". It matches the Rfam family "Bacterial small subunit ribosomal RNA", at positions 524 to 776 of the family's 1533-position model. The record is from RNAcentral.